CCUACGGGUGGCAGCAGUGGGGAAUAUUGCACAAUGGGGGAAACCCUGAUGCAGCGACGCCGCGUGAGUGAAGAAGCGUUUCGGCGCGUAAAGCUCUGUCAGCGGGGAAGAAACACGGUUCGCGAGAGCCGCGGACGGUACCCGACCAAGAAGCCCCGGCUAACUACGUGCCAGCAGCCGCGGUAAUACGUAGGGGGCAAGCGUUAUCCGGAUUCACUGGGUGUAAAGGGUGCGUAGGCGGAGUGUCAAGUCAGCGGUAAAAUUUCGGGGCUCAACCCCGUCGUGCCGUUGAAACUGACGCCCUUGAGUGAGUGAGAAGUAAGCGGAAUGCGUGGUGUAGCGGUGAAAUGCAUAGAUAUCACGCAGAACGCCGAUUGCGAAGGCAGCUUACCGGCGCUCAACUGACGCUGAGGCACGAAAGUGCGGGUAUCGAACAGGAUUAGAUACCCCUGUAGUC
Molecule: ribosomal RNA, 457 nt
Filed under: uncultured bacterium
Lineage: Bacteria
Description: partial 16S ribosomal RNA
Rfam family: Bacterial small subunit ribosomal RNA
Source: RNAcentral